This 385-nucleotide long non-coding RNA is filed under the name Vigna radiata. RNAcentral's name for it is "long non-coding RNA (VRAD_LNC011114)". The record is from RNAcentral. Lineage: Eukaryota; Viridiplantae; Streptophyta; Magnoliopsida; Fabales; Fabaceae.
GAAAGAACAAAACUCCCCUGAUCAUGGUGGGAAUUGCCAAUUUUGGACUUUCAGGGAGAUCUCUUCCACCAUCGGAUCCAACAAAAAAGUCUUGAGGAGGAAUUGCUUCAGUCUCCAGAUUUGAUCAAGUAGGGAGAUGUCCUCCACGGCUGGAUCUAAGAAGAAUUGACUGUUGAUGAGCAGGUUCAGCUGGUGCAUAUUAAUCUUCAAGCUUUUGUGUAUACUGGCACCCUUGUCUUCCACUGUGGGUGUGUGUUGAUCAGACUCAUGUGUACCUCCUACAACAUGGUUAGUGCAAUAUGGCUCCACAGAAAUAACAUGCAUAGGUAUAACACCCAAUCUCAGUGUAAGAGGCUGAACCUCAGAUAUACCCUCAGAACAUGAA